CCAAUAGCGUAUAUUAAAGUUGUUGCAGUUAAAAAGCUCGUAGUUGAAUUUCGGGAUUGACGUGACGGUCAUGCCUUAAGGGGUAUGAACUGUUGCUGUUGAUUUCUCACCUUCUGGAGAAACUUGAUGUCCUUUAUUGGGUGUCUUGCGGAUCCAGGACCUUUACCUUGAAAAAAUUAGAGUGUUUAAAGCAGGCAUUUUUGCUCGAAUACAUUAGCAUGGAUUAAUAGAAUAGGACGGCAUGGUUCUAUUUUGUUGGUUUCUAGGAUCACCGUAAUGAUUAAUAGGGAUAGUUGGGGGCAUUAGUAUUCAAUUGUCAGAGGUGAAAUUCUUGGAUUUAUUGAAGACUAACUACUGCGAAAGCAUUUGCCAAGGAUGUUUUCAUUAAUCAAGAACGAAAGUUAGGGGAUCGAAGACGAUCAGAUACCGUCGUAGUCUUAACCAUAAACUAUGCCGACUAGGAAUCAGACGAUGUUAAUUUUUUAAUGACUCGUUUGGCACCUUACG
RNAcentral lists this unclassified non-coding RNA (507 nucleotides) under uncultured Entrophospora. RNAcentral's name for it is "SSU rRNA". It matches the Rfam family "Eukaryotic small subunit ribosomal RNA", at positions 591 to 1092 of the family's 1831-position model. The record is from RNAcentral. Lineage: Eukaryota; Fungi; Glomeromycota; Glomeromycetes; Entrophosporales; Entrophosporaceae.